GGGCCUCUAGCUCAGCGGCAGAGCGGCCGGCUCAUAACCGGUUGGUCCUUGGUUCGAACCCGAGGAGGCCCA
This 72-nucleotide transfer RNA is filed under the name Chloroflexota bacterium. Its description in RNAcentral is "Chloroflexi bacterium (anaerobic digester metagenome) tRNA-Ile". It matches the Rfam family "tRNA". Rfam says of the family: Transfer RNA (tRNA) molecules are approximately 80 nucleotides in length. Their secondary structure includes four short double-helical elements and three loops (D, anti-codon, and T loops). Further hydrogen bonds mediate the characteristic L-shaped molecular structure. tRNAs have two regions of fundamental functional importance: the anti-codon, which is responsible for specific mRNA codon recognition, and the 3' end, to which the tRNAs corresponding amino acid is attached (by aminoacyl-tRNA synthetases). tRNAs cope with the degeneracy of the genetic code in two manners: having more than one tRNA (with a specific anti-codon) for a particular amino acid; and 'wobble' base-pairing, i.e. permitting non-standard base-pairing at the 3rd anti-codon position. The record is from RNAcentral. Lineage: Bacteria; Bacillati; Chloroflexota.